This 286-nucleotide small nuclear RNA is filed under the name Camelus ferus (Wild Bactrian camel). RNAcentral's name for it is "7SK RNA". It matches the Rfam family "7SK RNA". Rfam says of the family: 7SK was discovered as an abundant small nuclear RNA in the mid-70s but a possible function has only recently been suggested. Two independent studies have found that 7SK RNA binds the CDK9/cyclin T complex (known as elongation factor P-TEFb). Lineage: Eukaryota; Metazoa; Chordata; Mammalia; Artiodactyla; Camelidae. The record is from Rfam by way of RNAcentral.
AGUGGUGAGGGUGAUCUGGCUGUGACAUCUGUCACCCCAUUGAUCGCCAGGGUUGAUUCGGCUAAUCUGGCUGGCUAAGCAGGUGUCCCCUUCCUCCCUCACUCCUCCAUGUACAUCCCUCCCAAAGCUGCACACUUGGUCGGAGAAGAUGACCUUCCCCAGUAGAGGAGGACCGUACUUCUUGGUCAAGGGUAUAUGAGUAGAUAUGCUCCCCUGCUAGAACCUCCAAACAAGCUCUGAAGUUGUGGAAGUGGAUUUGAGUUACUCAACUGGAGAGAAAAUGUUU